Molecule: ribosomal RNA, 378 nt
Filed under: Microbacterium testaceum
Lineage: Bacteria; Bacillati; Actinomycetota; Actinomycetes; Micrococcales; Microbacteriaceae
Description: bacterial SSU rRNA
Rfam family: Bacterial small subunit ribosomal RNA
Source: RNAcentral
CUGAGUUUGAUCCUGGCUCAGGAUGAACGCUGGCGGCGUGCUUAACACAUGCAAGUCGAACGGUGAAGCCAAGCUUGCUUGGUGGAUCAGUGGCGAACGGGUGAGUAACACGUGAGCAACCUGCCCUGGACUCUGGGAUAAGCGCUGGAAACGGCGUCUAAUACUGGAUAUGAGCCCCUUCCGCAUGGUGGGGGUUGGAAAGAUUUUUUGGUCUGGGAUGGGCUCGCGGCCUAUCAGCUUGUUGGUGAGGUAAUGGCUCACCAAGGCGUCGACGGGUAGCCGGCCUGAGAGGGUGACCGGCCACACUGGGACUGAGACACGGCCCAGACUCCUACGGGAGGCAGCAGUGGGGAAUAUUGCACAAUGGGCGGAAGCCUG